CGGUCGGAUGGGUCUUCAGUGAAAUCCAACGCUAGAUCGUUGGGCUUGCUGAGGAAACUAUUCGACUUGGGACCGGGAGAGGCCAGAGCUAUUCCUGGGGUAGCGGUAAAAUGCUGUAAUCCUUGGAGGAGCGCCUGUGGCGAAAGCGUCUGGCUGGAACGGCUCCGACGGUGAGGGACGAAAGCCUGGGGAGCGAAAGGGAUUAGAUACCCCCGUAGUCCAGGCCGUUAACGAUGCCCGUUUGGUGUAGCAUUUCCUACGAGGAAAUGCUGUGCCGUAGCGUAGGUGUUAAACGGGCCGCCUGGGGA
RNAcentral lists this ribosomal RNA (308 nucleotides) under uncultured archaeon. RNAcentral describes it as "bacterial SSU rRNA". It matches the Rfam family "Archaeal small subunit ribosomal RNA", at positions 526 to 834 of the family's 1478-position model. The record is from RNAcentral.